UAUUUUAGAUAAGAAAUAAUUGAGCCGCUAACUCAAUAUAAACAACUAUGUUAUUAUCACAAGUCUAUAGUGAAAUAU
This 78-nucleotide transfer RNA is filed under the name Bothropolys sp. SP-2004. RNAcentral's name for it is "tRNA-Ser". The record is from RNAcentral. Lineage: Eukaryota; Metazoa; Arthropoda; Chilopoda; Lithobiomorpha; Ethopolyidae.